AAAGAAAAAUGAAUGUUUUGAAGUGUGUGACAAGUGGCCGGUAUGAUACAGUAGAUAAUACAAGAAGAAAAUUCGUAGGUAUAAUAUUUUGUCAAUAACUGAAUUAAGUCAAUUAAUUCUCUGUAUGCACGGCGGCUUCGUAGUAUUCGACCAGUAGCAACCAAUUAUAGAACAAAUACUCAUUCUAUGGGAGUGGCUUGUUAAUCCACCAUCGAUCAAAAACCGCAGUUAGAUCUCAUUUGAAAAAUGGUAUGAACACAAAUUAC
This is a non-coding RNA of Cinara cedri, 266 nucleotides long. The record is from the annotation of a GenBank genome assembly. NCBI's taxonomy places the organism in Eukaryota, Metazoa, Arthropoda, Insecta, Hemiptera, Aphididae.